Molecule: long non-coding RNA, 2151 nt
Filed under: Nicotiana benthamiana
Lineage: Eukaryota; Viridiplantae; Streptophyta; Magnoliopsida; Solanales; Solanaceae
Description: long non-coding RNA (NBEN_LNC031953)
Source: RNAcentral
CUAAACAUGCUCCUGAUAGUCAAUGUAAUAAGAUAACAAAAAAUAGAAAUGAAACGAUAAAAAUAAAAUAAAAUAAAUUAAUUAAAGCAUGUAACAAUUUUAUUUAUGUUUGGCUUUUCUCCUCAUUCCCACAACAUAUCGGCAUUACUCCAAAAAACCGAAACCAUAUUGAAUAAAUCUUUCAGCAGACGAAUCAACCAAAUCACGAACUGAAAAUAAGAUGAGCAAAGUGAUGGAUUUGAAGUAUGACAGGAGCCACCUAAAACCUCACCGGUUUAACUCACAGUAAUCUCUUAACAAAAAAAAAACUACUAGCAUCUAAAUGACGAGACCCUAACAAUGCUCCCACGAGAUGUCUGUGAAAAAAAUUAAUUUUUACUCGCCCCAAAGCCUUUUCCUUCAAGAAUCUACAAACAAUAGGUUAUUACCAAGAACAUAUAUUAUAAUAUGUAAAAAUGAGUCAGGUGGAAUUUUAAUGAGAAAAUCAAGUGCCUCAAAUCCUAAAGCAUGACUGCCAAUGCUCCCUAACCCCUCUGAAAUACAGAGAAAACCUUUUCACAAAUGAACCUCUCAUGCAAAUUCAAUCGAGAUUUUAUGGAACCAAAAUAUUGAUUGCGCACUUAUAUUGUAAAAGAAAGGGAGUUGUCGGAGAGUCAGCAAAUGACCAUAUAGUUCAUAUCAAAUCAGAUAACCUAGACUCAAAGCAGAUUACAGUCAAACAAUUACACAAUUUAAAGAUUGAGGGCCUAACGAAGAGAAAACUUAUGAAAUCUUCUCGAUCACUCACUUUUGUUCAAAAGAAAAAUUCACCAUACCAAGUGAAAAAGUAAGAAACAUAUGAUGAAAAAUAGUUAUAGCAGAUUUAAACACCCUUGCAACUAAUCGAGCACAUUCUGAUAGAUAAUUUAGAUAAUAGUGAAACCAAACCACACUUCAAUCCAGACAUUUGAAACUAAGCCAAACCUGAUCUACUCGCAACGACACUUAACUUUUAUUGUUAUACUCUUGUUAAGAAAGCUGAUCCGACAUGGAUUGAAGAAAAUCGCAACUAACUCAAGAUGGUCGGGCUAUAUCUUUUAAUGACUGAGUUGCAAAAUAGCAGAACCUAACAACUCUAGUUUAAUUGAACCAAGCAGUUUUGAAAAGAAAUGACUCUUCAAAACAGUUAAUGAGCUGUGUAUUAUCCCAGAAUUUUAUUCCAAACAACUCUAAAUCAACCCCUCCAAACUAAACCUCAAGCGAUUUCUGAAUCUGACAAACCUAAAGUUCCAAUCAUAUUUCAAUCACCAAAAAUAGAGUCGAGAAAACAGAAAUGAACCUGAAUGUGAAAACUUUGAUUAAUUCUGCUUUGAAUCAAAUACAAGUGAAUCCGGCGAUGAAAAAUCCCAAGAGGACAGCAGAUACAAUGCGAUAAGAUGCCAAAACCACGAACUCGAAUUCGAAUGGCCAACUCGAUCUCGGCUCAAUCAAUCUUCACGUCGAAACCAAAAAUCAGAAUUAAAAUUGAAGAGGGCAGAACUAUAUUAUAUUUUGGUUUUUUUUUUUACUUUUUAUUUCGAAAAUGGAACAAUACUUGAACAAAACCAAACUCAAACUUUUGUUUGUAUUUUUUGUUUUCUGGAAUUCGAACUCAACCAAAAAAUGGACCAAAGAAACAAACUCCCUAUUAGAAGCUAAUUCCGAAAAAACCCUCCUCCAAAAUCCGAGAAAUCACCCCAAUAUAUAGGGGGUCUCGAAUCUUCCAUUCUUCUUACCAAGAAAUCGCGUGUGGAGACCUCAAACAAAAAUCUGAAAAUUUCAUUUUUAACAAAAAUCAAAAAAUGGAAGUCUUGGAUCAAAGUUUAAUCUAACGGCUCCCAUUUUCCAACAUUUAUUUUCAAGGAUUCGGAUUUUCUGGUUUAAACAAAGGAAAUAAAAGAAGAAAUCCGCAAAAUCGGAUUGAAAUGAUGAGAUUUGGUACGAAAUGGAUGACGUGGGAGAAGGAGAAGAUGAGGAGGGACCAUGGGGGGACCAGGCCGAGCGAACUCGUCCGAUUCCAGCAAGUUCCGGCAGGUUUGGAGACGGCAGAGAUGAGGGUUGCGGCUGGUCUUAGGUUUUUAGGAUUAGAGUUUGGGAUUAUGUUUGGGGUGUUAUGUGUUUGGGGGAGUUGAU